GGGGAGUUAGCUCAGCGGUAGAGCGCUUGCUUAGCAUGCAAGAGGUCAUGGGUUCAAUCCCCAUACUCUCCA
This 72-nucleotide transfer RNA is filed under the name Encephalitozoon intestinalis. RNAcentral's name for it is "tRNA-Ala". It matches the Rfam family "tRNA". Rfam says of the family: Transfer RNA (tRNA) molecules are approximately 80 nucleotides in length. Their secondary structure includes four short double-helical elements and three loops (D, anti-codon, and T loops). RNAcentral also lists the same sequence under 1 other name. The record is from RNAcentral. Lineage: Eukaryota; Fungi; Microsporidia; Unikaryonidae.